UACGUAGGGCGCGAGCGUUGUCUGGAAUUAUUGGGCGUAAAGAGCUCGUAGGCGGCCUGUUGCGUCUGCUGUGAAAUCCCGGGGCUUAACCCCGGGCGUGCAGUGGAUACGGGCAGGCUGGAGGCAGGCAGGGGAGACUGGAAUUCCUGGUGUAGCGGUGAAAUGCGCAGAUAUCAGGAGGAACACCGGUGGCGAAGGCGGGUCUCUGGGCCGAUACUGACGCUGAGGAGCGAAAGCGUGGGGGAGCGAACAGG
Molecule: ribosomal RNA, 254 nt
Filed under: uncultured bacterium
Lineage: Bacteria
Description: partial 16S ribosomal RNA
Rfam family: Bacterial small subunit ribosomal RNA
Source: RNAcentral